UGUUGGGCUAGGGGGAGUGUUGACGUGCUCUAUUUUACACAAAUCGUCGAUAAAGGUGUCCCGAAGUUCGAGGGCGGCUCAGACGAGCUUAUGGUGACCCACCAGUUGACGUCGAUGCUUCGCCCCCAAGAGAUGCAGGUUGGCAAAAUGUCAUUCCGAAGGGAAUGUCGGACUGUCUUACGCCCGGGAACCAGGUCAGGCGCGGAAGCGAGCAACCCGACCGGGGAUGCUGGAUGCCUUGGGAAUGCGGAGUGGAGGAGAUUGGUGAAUAUUCAUCAUUUGUGACGAGUGCCCACCGAGAACGUGCCCACUA
RNAcentral lists this signal recognition particle RNA (313 nucleotides) under Methanobacteriota archaeon. Its description in RNAcentral is "Euryarchaeota archaeon (marine metagenome) signal recognition particle sRNA". It matches the Rfam family "Archaeal signal recognition particle RNA". The record is from RNAcentral. Lineage: Archaea; Methanobacteriati; Methanobacteriota.